GGAGAUUUGGGACAAAUUCAUUGAUUAAGAACUGAAAUUCUCAAAAGCACAAUACAGGACAAAAGGCCUUCAUAUCUAACAUUCAGCUCUCAAUAGCCAAAAAAAAUAAAGCACAAAAUGUAAUUAUCAAUAUUUUCUUGCCAAUUCAUCAUAUGCUAUGAUAGAUCCAUCAAACGGUACUCGACAACAAAUAGAUGUUAGCAUAUAGCACAUCCCUACUACACCAAAAAGUCGGGUAACAGAUUUGAACCAACAUUGACUGACAAUGGCUCUAACAGAUUUGAACCUACAUUGACUGACAAUGGCUCUUGUAUCUUACCAAAUAAGAACACAUGAUCACUGCAACAGCUUCUAGUGACUCUCAGAAAUAUCAUCUUAAAGCUUUGCUUCAAUAAACCAAAAGGCAUAUCAAUUGUUUAACCUAAUAAGAGCAGAAGUAGAUGUAGAUCCACCAAUGAAGCUUCUAAUCAAUGCUUGGCUUUCGUUCUAUACUUGACUUGCUAAGUAUCACUACACCAAUUACAAUGAGUAAGGCACCUGCAAACCACUGUAGUACAGGUUUCAUUAUUAGAGUUCCAUAUGUUAAUGAUAAGAUACAAUCCUCUAGCUAUAACACAAAUUAAUUAUGAAAUCAGGAGCAAAUAUUAAUACAAAACAGCUAUCUUGAUGAUGCUACCAUGGCUAACUACAAUCUGAAAUUCUUCCUCCUGGCAAUAUUAUUAAGAGGAAAAAAUAUCUGAAUUGAAAAGGAUAAACAAACAAUGUGAGAGGAAGAGGCCAUUGGAAGAUUCUAUUCAUUAAUUUUUGUUACAGAUCCAUGAAGGGUAAAUGAUUUGGGUUGACAAAAGAAGGAAUAUAGCACAAUUUCUCCCCCAUUUUUUUAUUUGGGAAGCAUUCCAUAAGGUUUACCAAUGUCUUUCAUUUCAUACGUUUUACCAAACUUUCUAGUUCUCACCUAUCGUGUUGAACUAACCCAGAUAAAAAAUCAGCGCUUUCAGAUAUGAUAUACACAGAAUCAAAAACACCUGUUGAAAUUUUACAAAUGGUCCUGCUCGUUACUGCCAAGUGAUUUACCUGAGCUGAUAAUGCUUCCUCAAACAACAAAAAUCCAGCUAGACCAGAGGAGAGGAAAUUCGUGGCAAAGUUCGUCACUGUAGCUUGCAGAGAUGAAAGAACUUUAAGGCUGUUAACGUAACAUCCCCACAUUGUAACAUUACAUAUCACAACCAGACUAUAUCUAACAAACUGAUUGUAAAAGAACUUAGCAGCUAUGGCAGCGAGAGCGGCGUUGAUUCCAGCUGAUACUGCCCAUCCGUACCCUUCCUUCUUUCUGCCCAUCUCUGCGCUCAUUGGAAGGCACUCUUCGAAAGGCCACCAGUACAUGGAGGCUGCACUGUUGAAAAACCCUACGACUUCGUUUUAAUCGUCAGC
RNAcentral lists this unclassified non-coding RNA (1431 nucleotides) under Hevea brasiliensis (rubber tree). Lineage: Eukaryota; Viridiplantae; Streptophyta; Magnoliopsida; Malpighiales; Euphorbiaceae. The record is from RNAcentral.